AGAGUUUGAUCCUGGCUCAGAAUCAACGCUGGCGGCGUGCCUAACACAUGCAAGUCGAGCGAGAAAGGGGGAGCAAUCCCCUGAGUAAAGCGGCGCACGGGUGAGUAACACGUGGGUAAUCUGCCCUGGAGUGGGGAAUAACACCGGGAAACCGGUGCUAAUACCGCAUACGAUAGCGAGGUCUGCGGACUUUGUUAUGAAAGGAGCAAUUCGCUCUAGGAGGAGCCCGCGGCUGAUUAGCUAGUUGGUGAGGUAAUGGCUCACCAAGGCUACGAUCAGUAUCCGGUCUGAGAGGACGGUCGGACACACUGGAACUGAGACACGGUCCAGACUCCUACGGGAGGCAGCAGUGGGGAAUUUUUGGCAAUGGGGGCAACCCUGACCAAGCAACGCCGCGUGGGUGAUGAAGUCUCUUGGGACGUAAAACCCUUUCGACGGGGAAGAAAACCGCAAGGUUUGACGGUACCCGUAGAAGAAGCCCCGGCUAACUCCGUGCCAGCAGCCGCGGUAAUACGGGGGGGGCAAGCGUUGUUCGGAAUUACUGGGCGUAAAGGGUGCGUAGGCGGUCCGCUAAGUUAGAUGUGAAAACUCUGGGCUNCACCCAGAGCCUGCAUCUAAUACUGACGGGCUAGAGUUCUGGAGGGGGUAGCGGAAUUCCUGGUGUAGCGGUGAAAUGCGUAGAUAUCAAGAGGAACACCGGUGGCGAAGGCGGCUCACUGGCCCCGUACUGAAGCUGAGGUGCGGAAGCGUGGGGAAGCAACAGGAUUAGAUACCCUGGUAGUCCACGCCGUAAACGAUGGAUGCUAGCCGUUUGGCAGGCUUGCCUGUCAGUGGCGCAGCUAACGCAUUAAGCAUCCCGCCUGGGGAGUACGGUCGCAAGAUAAAACUCAAAGGAAUGACGAAGGGCAAUCGCGCGCACCCC
This 922-nucleotide ribosomal RNA is filed under the name uncultured bacterium. RNAcentral describes it as "bacterial SSU rRNA". It matches the Rfam family "Bacterial small subunit ribosomal RNA", at positions 8 to 935 of the family's 1533-position model. The record is from RNAcentral.